GAUGAAUAAGUCCACAACUAAAACCAUGCACGCUACUUUAUAGGCAUAUAUGGUAUUCAAUUGGACAAUAUAGAUAUUGGUUAACUAUUCCUCUUAAGGAUAUCGGCUAAAAGAUAAAAUCCUUAAUAAAGUAAUACCGACAAAAAUAUAAU
Molecule: small nucleolar RNA, 152 nt
Organism: Bactrocera dorsalis (oriental fruit fly)
Lineage: Eukaryota; Metazoa; Arthropoda; Insecta; Diptera; Tephritidae
Source: RefSeq, a predicted model, not a curated record